RNAcentral lists this transfer RNA (71 nucleotides) under Candidatus Levyibacteriota bacterium. RNAcentral's name for it is "tRNA-Trp". It matches the Rfam family "tRNA". Rfam says of the family: Transfer RNA (tRNA) molecules are approximately 80 nucleotides in length. Their secondary structure includes four short double-helical elements and three loops (D, anti-codon, and T loops). Further hydrogen bonds mediate the characteristic L-shaped molecular structure. tRNAs have two regions of fundamental functional importance: the anti-codon, which is responsible for specific mRNA codon recognition, and the 3' end, to which the tRNAs corresponding amino acid is attached (by aminoacyl-tRNA synthetases). tRNAs cope with the degeneracy of the genetic code in two manners: having more than one tRNA (with a specific anti-codon) for a particular amino acid; and 'wobble' base-pairing, i.e. permitting non-standard base-pairing at the 3rd anti-codon position. The record is from RNAcentral. Lineage: Bacteria; Candidatus Levyibacteriota.
AGGGCUGUGGUGAAAUGGUAUCACAGCGGUCUCCAAAACCGCUUUUCAGAGUUCGAAUCUCUGCGGCCCUG